UACGUAGGGUGCAAGCGUUGUCCGGAAUUAUUGGGCGUAAAGAGCUCGUAGGCGGUUUGUCGCGUCUGCUGUGAAAACUCGGGGCUUAACCCCGGGCCUGCAGUGGGUACGGGCAGACUAGAGUGCGGUAGGGGAGACUGGAAUUCCUGGUGUAGCGGUGAAAUGCGCAGAUAUCAGGAAGAACACCCGUGGCUAAGGCGGCUCUCUAGUACGGUACUGACGCUGAGACGCGAAAGCGUGGGGAGCGAACAGG
This 253-nucleotide ribosomal RNA is filed under the name uncultured bacterium. Its description in RNAcentral is "partial 16S ribosomal RNA". It matches the Rfam family "Bacterial small subunit ribosomal RNA", at positions 524 to 776 of the family's 1533-position model. The record is from RNAcentral.